GGAAUAUUGCGCAAUGGGGGCAACCCUGACGCAGCAAUACCGCGUGAGUGAAGAAGGUUUUCGGAUCGUAAAGCUCUGUUAUUGGGGAAGAAAAAAGACGGUACCCAAGAAGAAAGUCCCGGCUAACUACGUGCCAGCAGCCGCGGUAAUACGUAGGGGACAAGCGUUGUCCGGAUUUACUGGGCGUAAAGGGCACGCAGGCGGUUUUUUAAGUCAGAUGUGAAUGGUACCGGCUCAACCGGUGACAUGC
This 250-nucleotide ribosomal RNA is filed under the name uncultured bacterium. Its description in RNAcentral is "partial 16S ribosomal RNA". It matches the Rfam family "Bacterial small subunit ribosomal RNA", at positions 358 to 624 of the family's 1533-position model. The record is from RNAcentral.